GUGGGGAAUCUUGCGCAAUGGGCGAAAGCCUGACGCAGCCAUGCCGCGUGAAUGAUGAAGGUCUUAGGAUUGUAAAAUUCUUUCACCGGGGACGAUAAUGACGGUACCCGGAGAAGAAGCUCCGGCUAACUUCGUGCCAGCAGCCGCGGUAAUACGAAGGGGGCUAGCGUUGCUCGGAAUUACUGGGCGUAAAGGGCGCGUAGGCGGACAGCUUAGUCAGAGGUGAAAGCCCAGGGCUCAACCUUGGAAUUGCCUUUGAUACUGGCUGUCUUGAGUUUGGGAUAGGUGAGUGGAACUCCGAGUGUAGAGGUGAAAUUCGUAGAUAUUCGGAAGAACACCAGUGGCGAAGGCGACUCACUGGCCCAAUACUGACGCUGAGGCGCGAAAGCGUGGGGAGCAAACAGGAUUAGAAACCCGUGUAGUCC
This 425-nucleotide ribosomal RNA is filed under the name uncultured bacterium. Its description in RNAcentral is "partial 16S ribosomal RNA". It matches the Rfam family "Bacterial small subunit ribosomal RNA", at positions 354 to 796 of the family's 1533-position model. The record is from RNAcentral.